UGCCUCACGAAUUCCAAAAUGAGAGGUCCAUCCUGCCCGGUGACCUGAGGGUUUAACGGCCGCGGUACCCUGACCGUGCUAAGGUAGCGUGAUAAGUUGCCCUUUAAUUGGGGGCUUGUAUGAACGGACACACGAGGGUUUAGCUGUCUCUUUUAUAGACCUGGAAAUUAACCUUUAGGUGAAGAAACCUAAAUAAACACAAAGGACAAAAAGACCCCAUAGAGCUUUGUUUUAUUUUAUCUUAUUAAAAAAAUUUAUUUAUAACUCUUACUUUUAAUAAAUAAAUAAACUUAACUGGGGCGGUUGAAGAAAAAACAAACUUCUUUUCAAUAGAAUUAUAAACACAUAAAGAUUUAACAUAUCCUACAUAUAAACUUGAGCCUAAUAUGUUUGCUAAAACUUUUAUAAUUAAUAAAUAAUAUUUUAAAUUCUACUUAGCGCCACUUAUAGAUCAAAGGAAAAGCUACCUUGGGGGUAACAGAUUAAUCCUUCUUAAGAGUCCAUAUUGACAGAAGGGUUUGACACCUCGAUGUUGGCUUAGGGAACCCAAAGGGUCAGCAGAAGCCCUUAAAGGUAGGUUUGUUCAACCUUAAAAACCCU
RNAcentral lists this ribosomal RNA (600 nucleotides) under Amphisamytha sp. Longqi. RNAcentral's name for it is "partial 16S ribosomal RNA". It matches the Rfam family "Bacterial large subunit ribosomal RNA", at positions 1817 to 2597 of the family's 2925-position model. Lineage: Eukaryota; Metazoa; Annelida; Polychaeta; Terebellida; Ampharetidae. The record is from RNAcentral.